This 4219-nucleotide long non-coding RNA is filed under the name Mus musculus (house mouse). RNAcentral's name for it is "long non-coding RNA chr6:8593326-8597545". Lineage: Eukaryota; Metazoa; Chordata; Mammalia; Rodentia; Muridae. The record is from RNAcentral.
UGACAAACUUUCCCAACAUCACCAACAGCAAAGUACUUAGCAUCACAAAAUAGCUAUUAACACUGAUCUUGGCAGGGACCGACUUAUAUUCAGCAGUUUUUGUGGAAAGCAGUAAUGCUUGCAAAAAUGUGUGUGUCAUUCAGCAUUUAAUGGAGACUAUGCAUUUCAUAGUAUGUCUGACAGAUUAGUACUGUGUCCUGUGUUUUGUUCCAACAUUUUCAGUAUGAAUAAGCUCUAUUUCAAAAAGUUGCCUGUCUAAGUAGAAAAUGUCUUGCUGUGUUUUGUCCUAUGGAAAAUACUGUACUUCAGGAUUAUGUUUACAAUUGAUCCAGGUGUUUGUUUCUAACUUCUAUAAUACAUACAAUGCAAAAAAAAAAAAAAAAUGGCCACAACAGUUGCACAGUGCCCACCCUAUGGCCUAGCUUCAGGUACUUCAGUUGAAGUCUAAACUCAGGUAACUUGGAAUGUAUGUCAUAUUGGGAUAUUAAAUAUUUCACAGCUACAAAGCUAAAGAGGGAACAUCACUCUUUUGCCUUUCCUUGUUUUAUGCAUUUCCUUUUCUUCAUUCCAUUCCACACUAGAAUAAGAAGUGCAUUGAUCCCUAGGAGAUGCUAAUCCUGGGUAUAGGGAACAUGAGGAGAACCAGCAAAUUUGUGGUGUGUGACAUCACUUUUGUCAUGUGGUUACCAGUAGAACAACUGUUGCAUUCACUGUUUCAACAUGUGUAAAUGUGGCUUUUUUUUUUAAAAAAAAAGAAAAAGAAAAAAGAAAAAACAAGUUGUGUUGCUCAGUGACUGACUGUUACAGUGUUGCAAAUAAAGCCUCAGUAGUAGCCUACAUAAACAUUCCCCAUUGCGUGUGACGAAAUUUAAAUGCAGGGAUGGCUGGAGUUCAUUUCAAAGCAAGUGGCGUUUUGCAGAAAUAAAUAAGGAUUUUUCUUUAUAUUGGCCAUUGGGGUCAUAAUUGCUACUAUUUUUAUCUAAAGACAUAUUUAUGUUUAGCUUCAUUUUAGGAAAUUGUAAUUUUCUGGUUACAAAGUGAAACAUUUUGGUUACUGUUUUCCUCAAGUAUUUGGUAAAUGAGUUGUAUUCAUGUAGAGAGAAUGUGUAUGUCUCAGAACCAGUGCAGCAUAAGCAAGCAGAUUUCUUGUUGACUUUCGAGAGCAAUAGCUUAAAGCUGUCUCAUUUAAGCCUCAGAUAACACUAUCAUGAAUAAUUUUGUUAAGACGUAGAACGCAUGGAGUGGAGCAGAACCCCGAGUAAAUAGCCUUGAACUUGCAGACUUGACAGAAGUUCUCCACAAAGUGCAUAGAAGAGAGCCAUAGAGAUUCCUGUUGCCACCUGGAGAGCCCGACUUCAGACUUUAUUUUUUUGCAGCACAGCCUGUGCAAAAGUAAAGGGACGCUUUUGUAUUGGUGUUCCGUUGCUCUCAGUUCAGUUAGAGCCUAGAGUUCUCCCAUCUCCACCUAACGUGUGUGGCACAAUGUUUGGUUUGGUUGGUUUUUAGAGUCGGGAACCGCUGCCUACAGUUACUCUUCAGUUUUCCAUAGGUCAUACCUGCGGUUUCCUUUGACUCCUCUAAGGAGUCAACGAGUAGAAGGAUGAGCUGAUAAAGUGAUGAUACCGUGUUAAUUUUUACAAAAUGCUGUGCGUGAGUGUGCAUACACGUGCACAUGGAUGUGUGGAUGUGUGUAUUCUGUGUGCUAUUUUGUCACCUUGAUGUCUCCUUUCCACCAAAGUUUGCAGUAAUACUCUCUUCUGAAGGUACGCAGUCAGUGUUAUAGAGACUGUCAUGGAGAAGAGGACUCAGUUGACUUUUGCCAUUUUCAUAGGGGAACCUUUUAAAACAAUCUUUUCAGCAGCAGACACCUUUAACCCUAAUAAUCUCAGGCCUUGAUGAAAAUACUAUAUUUUGUAGAUUAUGGUUAAAGGAAGAAAAUUGCUAGUUCCGUAAGAUAAAUAUGAGCUCCAUUUAACUUCUUUUUUUUAAGCCUCUAACAAUUUUAUUGUAAGUAAACAAAAUUAUGUGUACUUGUUUUAUUCGGCACGUGAAAACAGAUAUUUACAGAUAUAAAAAACUCGUAUUGACAGACGUUUAAAUGGACAGAGUCAAGUUGAUAGAAGCAUGACACAAAUUUGGUAAAGCAAAUCUCAGAUACUGACACUGAAGCAAGUGCUCUCAGAUCCAUCAAACAGACCACAGCCCUCCCUUGCCAAAACUCCAAUCAAUUCUAUCUUAGUAUCUAAGAUAGACAUCCUGUUUGUUUUUCAUAAGUCAAUCUUGGCACUUUUAUGAACAAUUAGUUCCUCUAUUCACAAAAGGCAUCAUAAUUAUUUUUACUUUCUUAAAGUUUGAGGGUUUUUUGGUUUUUGUUUUAAGUAGCCAAGAUCUACAGUUGAUCUUCUAAAAGGUCACGAUCUUAGUAAGUUCUUUUUAGUUACAGGCAAAGGACCCACUUUACAGUUGGCUUUUAGGAUCUUGCCAUUCAAACAGUCUUUGUUGUUAUGGUAAGCACACAGACACUUUGUACAAUAUUCAAAUUGACAGCUUUCCCGUUUGCAGACUGCUCGCUCUAAAUAGUGGUCAUAUUUUGCAGGGAAAUUAUAGCAAGCACAGGCUUUGAGGCUUCCCUUGUUCUUCAAUGUCUGCCACCUCCACGAACUUGUUGUGCCAGCUGUAGGUAGAACCUUUCUGACCACGCUGACUGGAGGACUUGACCUGAACAUCUUUUUUUGGGAGGUGCCCAGGUCGACGAUGACUUUGAACAGAAGUUAGUGCAGGUCUGCCCACAACAUGUCCUCUCGUUGCAGCAUGUAGUGACAACUUACUGCUUUCAAUGACUCUGCAUGGUUUUGCUGUAGAGCUGGACCGCUCCCUUAUUGUUUUCCAGUAUCUUCUUCCAAAUUCUGCUCACUUUAGACAGGUUUAUUAAGUCCGUGCCCCGAGCUUCAUCACAAUGUUAGCCAACAGGUGCACGAAUCCCCUCCGGGAGAGCUCAGCCAGGAGAUCUAGGUGUUCCAGGCCCAUUUUCUUGCCAAUUAUACUUUGCAGUCUAAAGUUGCCGCUGGUGAUAACUUCCUUCAGCAUUUCUCGAUCCACUUUAGGGUUUCGCUUGCCAUUCUUUUUUAGUGUUGAGCAAACCACUCUUUGACAAUGCAGGACAGGCAGCAGGUUUUGUUGGGAUGCUGGUCCAGGCUCUGUGAUGGCAGCAGGCGGGCCUGGGGACUGUUUCUGAAAUUCUCCAGGAUAAGGAUGCCGUCGUCACGGUCACUUUGUGUAAAAGAUGAGUAGCCACUGUCCUCAUACAGUCUACUGGCCUCUAGCUCUUCUGUUUCGUUUGAACUAUCUAGUGUGUUUUGUACACGUUGAUUCUCCUUGCUAUCAUGACCCACAAUUGGUGACUCGAUGAAAGACAACCUCUCAUGGUUUCUAACACAGUCCUUACAGGAAGGUUUCAAACACACGGGACUGUAGGAACCUUCUCUCCCACUGUCCUCAGGCUUCAACCACUUCAAGCUCAGAAAGAUCAGGGUUGCAAUUAAAACACUUCAUUGUAACAGAAAGAACAGGGCUUUCUUCUUUAUGUCCACGGUCGUCCACGCGCCAAGACGGCAGGGACAGAACGACGGCCGGCGCAGAUCACUGCAGGUGUGCCUGCUCAUGCGGGAAAACUCGGGCUCCAGUGCAGGGGAGGUGGCGGCGACCAUAGGAAAGAGGUGGCCGGCCCUCCAUUUAACUUCUAAUAUCUGGGUUAGCAUUACAUGAUGUGUUGAUCUUAUGCUCAGCAUUUGUCUAAGAUGCAAUAGUAUCAUUAUCAAUUUCAGAAAUAUGGACUGAAUAUGCUUUUUUGGUGAUGAAAUCUAUGUACGAUAUUUAUAGUGAUGUGCUUUUAUUUUCUCAUGAGAAACUAAAUAUUGUGUUGUACAUUUGUUUUUAGCAUAUAUUAAAGUUUUAAACCAAAUGUGUUAAAGCUUAUGCUUUGCCAUGCAAAUCCCCCAGAAGUUGGUGAGCUCAAAUGUAUCCUACAUCCAGCUGUAGAAACUUGUCAGAAAUUGUUUAAAUUUUGUAUAUAGGUGACUGUUUAAUUUUAGCCACUGCGCUGAACAGUAUUCAAGUUAUAUAAUAUGGCUUUACACAAGAAAUGUGUGGCUUCUGUUUUGUAUUUUUUUCAGUAUAGAAGUUCCUGUGUCUUAUUUAAAUAAAGUUAUUAGUAAAACUG